This 264-nucleotide ribosomal RNA is filed under the name uncultured bacterium. RNAcentral's name for it is "partial 16S ribosomal RNA". It matches the Rfam family "Bacterial small subunit ribosomal RNA", at positions 524 to 791 of the family's 1533-position model. The record is from RNAcentral.
UACGUAGGGGGCAAGCGUUGUCCGGAUUUAUUGGGCGUAAAGAGCGUGUAGGCGGUCAGGUAGGUCCGUUGUGAAAACUCGAGGCUCAACCUCGAGACGCCGAUGGAAACCAUCUGACUAGAGUCCGGAAGAGGAGAGUGGAAUUCCUGGUGUAGCGGUGAAAUGCGCAGAUAUCAGGAAGAACACCCGUGGCUAAGGCGGCUCUCUAGUACGGUGACUGACGCGAGACGCAACGUGGGGAGCGAACGGAUGAAGAACCUAUAC